RNAcentral lists this long non-coding RNA (513 nucleotides) under Monodelphis domestica (gray short-tailed opossum). RNAcentral's name for it is "lncRNA (ENSMODG00000044312.1)". Lineage: Eukaryota; Metazoa; Chordata; Mammalia; Didelphimorphia; Didelphidae. The record is from RNAcentral.
CCUUCUCCAGCUCAUUUACCAGAUGAGGAAACAAGCAAAAAAGGGUUAAAUAACUCAUUCAGUGUCAUCCAGCUAGUGUCUGAGGCUAGAUUUGAACUCAGAUCUUCUGACUUCAGUCCCAGCACUCUUCCCACUGCUCCACCUAGCUGCCCAUUGCUAGAAUACCCAUCCAAACAGCAGCAGCAGCAGCACAACAACAACAACAACAACAACAACAACAACAACAACAACAACAACAAACCAAAAACUUGGAUUUUUUUCCCCUCAAUUACUAGGGGUAGGACAAAUGGAGAACAGGGGACGAGGGGGUUGUCACAGAGCAAAUGAGAGAGAGAUUCUGGAAAUAGCUGGAAAAGCCCAAGACAAUGUACAAAUAUGAGAAACUGAAGCUUUGAGAAGGAAAGUGAUUUGCCAAAGGCCAUAAGACUAAUUAGUCACAGAAGAGAGAUAAAUACUCGACUAUUUGACACCUGGUCCAUUCUACUUUCUAUAAUAUUGAGUGACAAGAUGAUG